CCCAAGACCCCCAAGGACCCCAAAUGUGACCCCUCUGACCCCAUAUCUGCCCCCCAAGACCCCCAAUUGCCCCAAAUGUGACCCCACUGACCCCAUAACUGCCCCCCAAGACCCCCAAGCCCCCCAAAUGUGACCCCUCUGAUCCCAUAUCUGCCCCCAAGACCCCAUAAGUGCCCCCA
This 179-nucleotide long non-coding RNA is filed under the name Phasianus colchicus (ring-necked pheasant). RNAcentral's name for it is "lncRNA (ENSPCLG00000016949.1)". Lineage: Eukaryota; Metazoa; Chordata; Aves; Galliformes; Phasianidae. The record is from RNAcentral.